This 495-nucleotide ribosomal RNA is filed under the name uncultured bacterium. RNAcentral describes it as "partial 16S ribosomal RNA". It matches the Rfam family "Bacterial small subunit ribosomal RNA", at positions 28 to 507 of the family's 1533-position model. The record is from RNAcentral.
GACGAACGCUGGCGGCGUGCCUAAUACAUGCAAGUAGAACGCUGAAGGAGGAGCUUGCUUCUCUGGAUGAGUUGCGAACGGGUGAGUAACGCGUAGGUAACCUGCCUGGUAGCGGGGGAUAACUAUUGGAAACGAUAGCUAAUACCGCAUAAUAGUAGAUGUUGCAUGACAUUUGCUUAAAAGGUGCAAUUGCAUCACUACCAGAUGGACCUGCGUUGUAUUAGCUAGUUGGUGGGGUAACGGCUCACCAAGGCGACGAUACAUAGCCGACCUGAGAGGGUGAUCGGCUACACUGGGACUGAGACACGGCCCAGACUCCUACGGGAGGCAGCAGUAGGGAAUCUUCGGCAAUGGACGGAAGUCUGACCGAGCAACGCCGCGUGAGUGAAGAAGGUUUUCGGAUCGUAAAGCUCUGUUGUAAGAGAAGAACGAGUGUGAGAGUGGAAAGUUCACACUGUGACGGUAUCUUACCAGAAAGGGACGGCUAACUACGUG